Molecule: microRNA precursor, 124 nt
Filed under: Daucus carota subsp. sativus
Lineage: Eukaryota; Viridiplantae; Streptophyta; Magnoliopsida; Apiales; Apiaceae
Description: sRNA DCAR_mi00098
Source: RNAcentral
UAAUACUCUGAUUAAUGCCCUAGGGAAGGCUGGUCGAAUUGAUGAUGCAAACAAGCUUUUUGAACAAAUGAAAGUUAGCGGAAUAAACCCUGACGUUGUUACAUAUAAUACCCUUAUUGAGGUC